This is a non-coding RNA of Acanthosepion pharaonis, 99 nucleotides long. The record is from the annotation of a GenBank genome assembly. NCBI's taxonomy places the organism in Eukaryota, Metazoa, Mollusca, Cephalopoda, Sepiida, Sepiidae.
CAUUGAAACAUUGGUUCCCGUACGAUCAUCGAAGUUAAGCAACGUCAAGGUCAGUGAGUACCUUGAUGGGUGACCGCUUGGAAAUACCAGGUGUUGUGA